Pelobates cultripes (western spadefoot toad) is the source of this 273-nucleotide non-coding RNA. The record is from the annotation of a GenBank genome assembly. NCBI's taxonomy places the organism in Eukaryota, Metazoa, Chordata, Amphibia, Anura, Pelobatidae.
CUGCUCUUUGUGUGCUACAGGGCAUAUUAAAGUCUAGCGUUGUUUGCAAAAAAAAUUCUUAUCUGAUUAUAGACCUCACACAUAUUCUGUAUUCCUUAUAGCAGCCCAAAGCAGGAGGGUAGAUGUAAUUGCGCAGCCCAACUGCUCACGCCAAUUUCACGCUGCUCGCUGGGUUGCCUGGAAAGCAGCAGCACUGAUAUGAUAAGAGAUCAUUUUGCUAGUCCCAUGUUAGACUGUAAAAUUAGAAAUUACUCCCUGCACAGGUCUACUAAA